UUUGCUCUUGAUCUACGUGUGUGCGCAUGUGCCUGUGUAUAUUUAUGUGAAGGGUGUAUAUGGGUGGGCAUGCACUUAUGCAUGUG
RNAcentral lists this microRNA precursor (86 nucleotides) under Nannospalax galili (Upper Galilee mountains blind mole rat). Its description in RNAcentral is "miRNA (ENSNGAG00000006355.1)". Lineage: Eukaryota; Metazoa; Chordata; Mammalia; Rodentia; Spalacidae. The record is from RNAcentral.